CUAGGGGAGGUGCUUGCGGUACCCCUCACUACCAUACACCCACCCUCACCCCACUCACCCACUCCCUCCCCUCGUCACCCCCUCCCGGAGCCACGAUCUAUAAUACUUCAGCCCGGCGUCCAAUGACAUUCCGGCGGCCUCCAAUCUCGCCCAAGUUUACGCAUAUAAAAGGAGGCUGAGAUUUGUGCCAAAAGCCAAGCAUCUUUGGAUCACAACUAAAUGUAGGAUUUCGUUGCUUUUUUUGUCUGUCUAUCUUUAAAAUUUGAAAGAAAUUAACGAACGUUUUGCUUAAAGUCAAGGACGCGGGGCAGCGUUGGUAAUAGACUAUGCAGGUUCUCUUUGGGAUGUAGCAGGGAAAAAUUGAUUUUGGAUGCUGCCAUCUGAAUUCAAGAACAUCUCAACGUGUCCAUUCUGAAUGGACUGAACAGCAGCUGGAAAAGAUGAUUGAACAAAUGAGCUGGCUGCAAAAGUGUCCAUCCAAAGGACAUCCAAGUGGAUUCUAAUGACUUCUCUUCAAGGCAAAAAGGAAAAAAUACACAACCUUCAGUCGGUUACACGAGACACGAAGACAGCAGGACAUGCCGACAACAAAACAGUACGACAACAACGAUCCGACGGGAGCGAGGGGCAGACAGGACUUAAAUACACGACAGGUAACAAGAGGCAGGUGAGAAUGAUCACACUAAUCAUGGGCACACAGGAGGGGAGGGGCGAGCACACAGGCACACGGACAGAAACUAAGACAAUAUGCACAUAAUAAAACAACCGGGGACGAGACGUGACAAAUAAUGUGAUUUAAUAAUGACUCUACAGUCACUAUGUGUUUUAGUAAAUAACAGCCCUUUUGUGUGUACUAUAACAUUAUCAAAUGAAAAAAUAAAAUUAAAAAAAUAAUAAGAAAGUCAACCUCUACUACUUUUCAAACAUAUUUUUCUAUAUUCAAGCACACUGUUCAAACAGCAUGAACUGGCUCAUGACAAAAUUAAAUACACUAGGAAUACAACCUGUGUAAUUUUUGAUGAACACUU
Molecule: long non-coding RNA, 1028 nt
Organism: Syngnathus acus (greater pipefish)
Lineage: Eukaryota; Metazoa; Chordata; Actinopteri; Syngnathiformes; Syngnathidae
Exons: 3
Source: RefSeq, a predicted model, not a curated record